UACAGAGGUCCCGAGCGUUGUUCGGAUUCAUUGGGCGUAAAGGGUGCGUAGGUGGCUUGACAAGUUUGAUGUGAAAGCUCAGGGCUUAACCCUGAAAUGGCAUUGAAUACUGUCGGGCUGGAGGUAUGGAGGGGGGACUGGAAUUCUUGGUGUAGCAGUGAAAUGCGUAGAUAUCAAGAGGAACACCAGUGGCGAAGGCGAGUCCCUGGACAUCACCUGACGCUGAGGCACGAAAGCUAGGGGAGCAAACAGG
Molecule: ribosomal RNA, 253 nt
Filed under: uncultured bacterium
Lineage: Bacteria
Description: partial 16S ribosomal RNA
Rfam family: Bacterial small subunit ribosomal RNA
Source: RNAcentral